RNAcentral lists this ribosomal RNA (253 nucleotides) under uncultured bacterium. RNAcentral describes it as "partial 16S ribosomal RNA". It matches the Rfam family "Archaeal small subunit ribosomal RNA", at positions 474 to 727 of the family's 1478-position model. The record is from RNAcentral.
UACCAGCACCCCGAGUGGUCGGGACGAUUAUUGGGCCUAAAGCAUCCGUAGCCGGUCAUGCGAGUCCUCCGUUAAAUCCACCUGCUUAACAGAUGGGCUGCGGAGGAUACUACAAGGCUAGGAGGCGGAAGAGGCAAGCGGUACUCAGUGGGUAGGGGUAAAAUCCUCUGAUCCAUUGAAGACCACCAGUGGCGAAGGCGGCUUGCCAAUACGCGCUCGACGGUGAGGGAUGAAAGCUGGGGGAGCAAACCGG